Molecule: small nuclear RNA, 126 nt
Organism: Metopolophium dirhodum (rose-grain aphid)
Lineage: Eukaryota; Metazoa; Arthropoda; Insecta; Hemiptera; Aphididae
Product: U5 spliceosomal RNA
Exons: 1
Source: RefSeq, a predicted model, not a curated record
CAACUCCGGUUCCCUUUUAAAUCGUAAAAAUCUUUCGCCUUUUACUAAAGAUUUCCGUGGAGGGGAGCAUUCCAAGGAGUCUAGUAAUUUAAUUUUUAUAAGUGCCUGACCUUUUCUGGUCGGGCU